RNAcentral lists this ribosomal RNA (253 nucleotides) under uncultured bacterium. RNAcentral's name for it is "partial 16S ribosomal RNA". It matches the Rfam family "Bacterial small subunit ribosomal RNA", at positions 524 to 776 of the family's 1533-position model. The record is from RNAcentral.
UACGGAGGAUCCAAGCGUUAUCCGGAUUUAUUGGGUUUAAAGGGUGCGUAGGCGGUUUAUUAAGUCAGGGGUGAAAGACGGCAGCUUAACUGUCGCAGUGCCUUUGAUACUGAUGAACUUGAAUGUACUAGAAGUAGGCGGAAUGUGACAAGUAGCGGUGAAAUGCAUAGAUAUGUCACAGAACACCGAUUGCGAAGGCAGCUUACUAUGGUAUUAUUGACGCUGAGGCACGAAAGCGUGGGGAUCAAACAGG